This 253-nucleotide ribosomal RNA is filed under the name uncultured bacterium. RNAcentral describes it as "partial 16S ribosomal RNA". It matches the Rfam family "Bacterial small subunit ribosomal RNA", at positions 524 to 776 of the family's 1533-position model. The record is from RNAcentral.
UACGGAGGGGGCUAGCGUUGUUCGGAAUUACUGGGCGUAAAGCGCACGUAGGCGGCUUUGUAAGUUAGAGGUGAAAGCCCGGGGCUCAACUCCGGAAUUGCCUUUAAGACUGCAUCGCUAGAAUUGUGGAGAGGUAAGUGGAAUUCCGAGUGUAGAGGUGAAAUUCGUAGAUAUUCGGAAGAACACCAGUGGAGAAGGCGACUUACCGGACACAUAUUGACGCUUAGGUGCGAAAGCGUGGGGAGCAAACAGG